UCGAACGGUAGCACAGAAGCUUGCUCUCGGGUGACGAGUGGCGGACGGGUGAGUAAUGUCUGGGAACUGCCCGAUGGAGGGGGAUAACUACUGGAACGGUAGCUAAUACCGCAUAAUGUCGCAAGACCAAAGAGGGGGACCUUCGGGCCUCUUGCCAUCGGAUGUGCCCAGGAUGGGAUUAGCUUGUAGGUGGGGUAACGGCUCACCUAGGCGACGAUCCCUAGCUGGUCUGAGAGGAUGACCAGCCACACUGGAACUGAGACACGGUCCAGACUCCUACGGGAGGCAGCAGUGGGGAAUAUUGCACAAUGGGCGCAAGCUCUGAUGCAGCCAUGCCCGCGUGUAUGGAAGAAGGCCUUUCGGGUUGUAAAAGUACUUUUCAGCGAGAGAGGAAGGCG
RNAcentral lists this ribosomal RNA (398 nucleotides) under Citrobacter freundii. RNAcentral describes it as "bacterial SSU rRNA". It matches the Rfam family "Bacterial small subunit ribosomal RNA", at positions 62 to 455 of the family's 1533-position model. Lineage: Bacteria; Pseudomonadati; Pseudomonadota; Gammaproteobacteria; Enterobacterales; Enterobacteriaceae. The record is from RNAcentral.